RNAcentral lists this ribosomal RNA (253 nucleotides) under uncultured bacterium. Its description in RNAcentral is "partial 16S ribosomal RNA". It matches the Rfam family "Bacterial small subunit ribosomal RNA", at positions 524 to 776 of the family's 1533-position model. The record is from RNAcentral.
UACGUAGGGUGCAAGCGUUAAUCGGAAUUACUGGGCGUAAAGCGUGCGCAGGCGGUUGUGCAAGACAGGUGUGAAAUCCCCGGGCUUAACCUGGGAACUGCACUUGUGACUGCACAGCUGGAGUACGGCAGAGGGGGAUGGAAUUCCGCGUGUAGCAGUGAAAUGCGUAGAUAUGCGGAGGAACACCGAUGGCGAAGGCAGCCCCCUGGGAUGUGACUGACGCUCAUGUACGAAAGCGUGGGGAGCAAACAGG